GCCCUUAGAGUUUGAUCAUGGCUCAGGACGAACGCUGGCGGCGUGCCUAAUACAUGCAAGUCGAGCGCAGGAAGCAAGCGGAUCCCUUCGGGGUGAAGCUUGUGGAAUGAGCGGCGGACGGGUGAGUAACACGUGGGCAACCUACCUUGUAGACUGGGAUAACUCCGGGAAACCGGAGCUAAUACGGGAUGAUCAACGGCAUCGCAUGAUGCCAUUGUAAAAGUGGGGAGUAAUCCUCACACUACGAGAUGGGCCCGCGGCGCAUUAGCUAGUUGGUAAGGUAAUGGCUUACCAAGGCGACGAUGCGUAGCCGACCUGAGAGGGUGAUCGGCCACACUGGAACUGAGACACGGUCCAGACUCCUACGGGAGGCAGCAGUAGGGAAUCAUCCGCAAUGGGCGAAAGCCUGACGGUGCAACGCCGCGUGAACGAUGAAGGUUUUCGGAUCGUAAAGUUCUGUUAUGAGGGAAGAACAAGUGCCGUUCAAAUAGGGCGGCACCUUGACGGUACCUCACGAGAAAGCCCCGGCUAACUACGUGCCAGCAGCCGCGGUAAUACGUAGGGGGCAAGCGUUGUCCGGAAUUAUUGGGCGUAAAGCGCUCGCAGGCGGUCUUUUAAGUCUGAUGUGAAAGCCCACGGCUCAACCGUGGAGGGUCAUUGGAAACUGGGAGACUUGAGUGUAGGAGAGGAAAGUGGAAUUCCACGUGUAGCGGUGAAAUGCGUAGAUAUGUGGAGGAACACCAGUGGCGAAGGCGACUUUCUGGCCUACAACUGACGCUGA
Molecule: ribosomal RNA, 781 nt
Filed under: uncultured low G+C Gram-positive bacterium
Lineage: Bacteria; Bacillati; Bacillota
Description: bacterial SSU rRNA
Rfam family: Bacterial small subunit ribosomal RNA
Source: RNAcentral